RNAcentral lists this unclassified non-coding RNA (245 nucleotides) under Enterococcus faecalis. Lineage: Bacteria; Bacillati; Bacillota; Bacilli; Lactobacillales; Enterococcaceae. The record is from RNAcentral.
UUGGCAGAAUUUCAAAUUAUGAUAUAAUUAAUGCGGCAGCUCGCCUCGAUUGGAGGUGUGUUAUUUGUGAAAGAUUUAAUGUCGUUGGUUAUCGCACCAAUCUUUGUAGGAUUGGUUCUGGAAAUGAUUUCUCGUGUGUUGGACGAGGAAGACGAUAGCCGAAAGUAAGCUGCUAUCAACACACACGCUAGAAGUCGCAACUAGUGUAAAAAAAAGCAAUCCUAUUCGCCGUAGGAUUGCUUUUU